GUAGGUGGCAAGCGUUGUCCCGGAAUUAUUGGGCGUAAAGCGCGCGCAGGCGGUCCUUUAAGUCUGAUGUGAAAGCCCACGGGCUCAACCGUGGAGGGUCAUUGGAAACUGGGGGACUUGAGUACAGAAGAGGAAAGCGGAAUUCCAAGUGUAGCGGUGAAAUGCGUAGAGAUUUGGAGGAACACCAGUGGCGAAGGCGGCUUUCUGGUCUGUAACUGACGCUGAGGCGCGAAAGCGUGGGGAGCAAACAGGAUUAGAUACCCUGGUAGUCCACGCCGUAAACGAUGAGUGCUAAGUGUUAGGGGGUUUCCGCCCCUUAGUGCUGCAGCUAACGCAUUAAGCACUCCGCCUGGGGAGUACGGCCGCAAAGGCUGA
This 375-nucleotide ribosomal RNA is filed under the name uncultured organism. RNAcentral describes it as "partial 16S ribosomal RNA". It matches the Rfam family "Bacterial small subunit ribosomal RNA", at positions 527 to 897 of the family's 1533-position model. The record is from RNAcentral.